AAUGAACGCUGGCGGCAGGCCUAACACAUGCAAGUCGAAUGAGUGGCGGACGGGUGAGUAAUGUCUGGGAAAAUGCCCGAUGGAGGGGGAUAACUACUGGAAACGGGAGCAAAUACCGAAUACCAUCGGAUGUGACCAGAAGGGAUUAGCUAGGAGGGGGGGUCACGGCUCACCUAGGCGACGAUCCCUAGCUGUGAUGAGAGGAUGACCAGCCACACUGGAACUGAGACACGGUCCAGACUCCUACGGGAGGCAGCAGUGGGGAAUAUUGCACAAUGGGCGCAAGCCUGAUGCAGCCAUGCCGCGUGUAUGAAGAAGGCCUUCGGGUUGUAAAGUACUUUCAGCGAGGAGGCGUUACUCGCAGAAGAAGCACCGGCUAACUCCGUGCCAGCCGCCGCGGUAAUUC
This 406-nucleotide ribosomal RNA is filed under the name uncultured bacterium. RNAcentral's name for it is "partial 16S ribosomal RNA". It matches the Rfam family "Bacterial small subunit ribosomal RNA", at positions 29 to 526 of the family's 1533-position model. The record is from RNAcentral.